Non-coding RNA from Xyrichtys novacula (pearly razorfish), 2873 nucleotides. Lineage: Eukaryota; Metazoa; Chordata; Actinopteri; Labriformes; Labridae. The record is from the annotation of a GenBank genome assembly.
GGAAUUUUUACUCCCUAAAAGAGCGCCCCCCCAUGGCAGGAGAAAAAAGUCCAUUUUUUCUUGUCCCCUAAGGUGAAAAUACACAUUGUUGACUGUCACGCCUGUACGCUUUGGCAAAAUGACACAAAAAUUGACAAUCAUGUGUAUCUCAAUUAGAUCUAUGAAAAAGUCAAAGAGCGCGUAUCUGUAUAAUGUACGGUAAAAGGGCUAUUUUGCAUUUUUUGCCGAUUCGCACACAUUGGAAUGUGGCUUACUCCUCCUAAGGCUUUCGUCCCACUGACACCAAAUUUGCUCAGGCCAAUCUACACUCCAUGGCCAUUCACAGUUGUAAAAAUCAUGACGCUGCACCCCACGGUUUACGUUUUAGGGGGCGCCAAAGAUGACCCAAAUAUACAUUACAGUAGACAAAGUAGUUUUGCCCACUGAGUGGCGCCAAAGGGACUUGUCUGUGGAGUCUGUGAGUCACUAUUGGCCGUUUUUGACUACUUUAGAUUUUACCUUUAUAUUUCCUCUUACAAAAUUUUUACCUUGCCUUGCCUGGUAUCAUUUUUUUCAGCACAACCUCACCUGUGUCAAUUUACAGUUAUUUUAUCAUUUUGACAUACUAUAUUUACACAUUGGACCCAAAUUCACACACAAAACAUAAAAUCCGAGUGGAAAAAAGUAACGUUUUUACUGUGAAAACCACAAAUAUGUGUGAUGAACUGUUUUUAAAACUUAAACUUCAAAUAAAAAUUGUAAACUUCAAAACAUAUGCAAAUUUUUAACAAAGAACAUAGUAAUUUACCUCUAUUUACAUCAAAAUGCAGGCAAUGGCCCAGGUGUUCUUUGUAAAAUUAUUUACAAAACACUGUAUAGUCUCACAAAUGUCACUUUUUAUUUAUGCCACUACAAAAAAACAUGAUGUAAAUGAUGCAUGAUGUAAAACAUGAUGUAAAAAACUUGUGUAGAUCCUCCUCUAUGUCAGUCCAUGUGUAAUUUUUCCAUAAUUCUUUGUUUUUUGCAGCAUUUUUGUUAGUGUAACUGCAGAUUGUGCUGACAGUGUCUAUGGCAAAAAAAAAAAAAAAACUGAAAAUGCCUCAACAUGAACCCCUGGUGGUCUCUGAGGGUGAAACCUGCUAACUGCUGCAGCUCUGUCAGCUUCAGUCUCCCAUGCAGAGCUCGGAGCGCAUGUGUGGCUCUGCACCCUUAGCAGCGUUGCUAACUCCUCAGUAAGGAAAGCCUGCUUCACGUCAGAGUCUCUAAACUCCAGAAGAAGUCAAUAAAAGUCACUUUCUUUCUAAAAAAAAGUCGUUAGGGGGUCUGAAAAGUCAUUGAAUCUAACAACAAAGUCGCUAGGUUUGCAACUACGUGUCCCAGACUGCAUCCCUGCUGAGAGUCCCUCCCUCCCUUCUCAUAUUGCAGGAAGAACGUAAGCGCCCGCCCCUUGUCAAUCAGUCACCAUAUAAUUUUGGAUUGGUUGUUGUGGUGAAGUUUUCCACCAAUAGGAGAGAUGUUGUGGUGUGUUUUUUUUUUUCUUUUGGCAAGCCUUUUCCGCCUGUAAGACCUGUCGCUAAUGUCUGCAUGCUAUGUUUUCCUGUCUCAUACAGCGCGAUCGAGCGCCGAACGUGAUCAAAAUAAGCAGAAAACAAGUAUCGCGGACAUAAUUUAUCAUAACUCUGGUUUUAUUUGGCCUAUCAACACAAUUUAAAAACUGGUAUAUAGGUUGAGGUCCUCACUUUUGAGAUAAGUUGAAACGGAGAGUCAACGAGGCUCCGUCUUGCAGCUACAUCCGGUUAAAUAUGUCAUGUGACUUGAACGCACACACACACACACACACAGACACACACACACGCACACACAUACACUCAGAGUCUGGUUUUUAGCACCUGCAAAAACAUGCUAUUUACAUAUUUGACAAGAAUGCAGAGGCUCCUUUUGCCCCUGAAAAAAAUCAAAUUUCAAACACAACUUGACUGGUCAUUUCUCCAAAAGACAACCAUGAAGCUCCAUCCAAACCUGAAGCAGGCAGUUGGUGCAUGUGUACAGUAACCUGAGGGGAGUGAGGUGACUGCUUCUGAGGAGAACAUGAGCAGUGAAGAUUCACCUUAGAGCUAGAACAGAGACGUGCACAUGAUUAUACAGGGGCAGGGGCUCAAGUUUUUUCCAGUUGUUUAUACAAUAUGGAAAUUAAUGUGAAAUUAAAAAACAAAGUAUUAAUAGAAAGGUAAUGACUGUCCUGUGUAGGUGACAGUGAUAUCCAAUAGGCUAGGCACUCAUGAGGCUGGCUGUGGCAAGUGUAAGUGAAAGCAACACGCACUGGCAGGAAGAACAGCAAACGCAGAUGAAGGAAAAUGGUCUUUGCAGUGAUGGGCGUUACCAGAGAGGGCGAUGGCCAGAGGACACAAAUGGGACGGGGAGGCAGCGCGUUGGGGGGGGGGACGCGACACAGCUCGGGCCCGCCAGUGCCCCAACGGGGUCCUAGUUUGUUAUUAGGGCCCGAGCGUAGCUGCUAAGCAGCUGCGAGAGCCCUCUUGUUCCUGAUGGAUUCUUCUUUCGUUAUUUUUCCUCCGCUUUAAACUGGAAAAUGGCCCACUUCCCACUGGCGAAAACUCAGGAAAUUUGGCAGGACGACCGGGCCUGGUGAAAAAUUUGAUAUUCUGAAGUCGCCCAAACAAAAAAAUGAAAAAUGGCUGCAUAGCGCCCCCUAUGGGGAAAACUCACCUGAAGCCUGUACACUUUGUCAAAAUGACACAAAAUUUGACACACAUGUGUAUCUCAAUAAGAUCUACAAAAAAGUCAGUGCGAGCGUAUCUGUCAAAUGUACUGUUAAAGGGCUAAUUCGCAUUUUUUGCCGAUCCGCACACAUUGGAAUUUCGCUAACUCCUCCGAAG